UACGAAGGGGGCUAGCGUUGCUCGGAAUCACUGGGCGUAAAGGGUGCGUAGGCGGGCCUUUAAGUCAGGGGUGAAAUCCUGGAGCUCAACUCCAGAACUGCCUUUGAUACUGAAGAUCUUGAGUUCGGGAGAGGUGAGUGGAACUGCGAGUGUAGAGGUGAAAUUCGUAGAUAUUCGCAGGAACACCAGUGGCGAAGGCGGCUCACUGGCCCGAUACUGACGCUGAGGCACGAAAGCGUGGGGAGCAAACAGG
This 253-nucleotide ribosomal RNA is filed under the name uncultured bacterium. RNAcentral describes it as "partial 16S ribosomal RNA". It matches the Rfam family "Bacterial small subunit ribosomal RNA", at positions 524 to 776 of the family's 1533-position model. The record is from RNAcentral.